Long non-coding RNA from Anneissia japonica, 807 nucleotides. RefSeq lists it as uncharacterized. NCBI's taxonomy places the organism in Eukaryota, Metazoa, Echinodermata, Crinoidea, Comatulida, Comatulidae. The transcript is spliced from 3 exons. The record is from RefSeq and is a predicted model, not a curated record.
CAGCGGAGAAGGGUGUAAACAGAGAAAGACACAGCUGGAAAAAAAAUCUGGUGAUUUUGAUAAUGAUGCUUGAGGAAAUAUGCUAAUAUACUGAUUGGAUAGUGGUACUUCUGCCGAUGACUAAUUGUCGACGUGGAAUGAAAAAAAAACUAAUGAUGAUUGUGAUGAUGACGUGCCUCUUCUGAUGGAGAACUGAUAGACAUAAGUGCUCAUGGGGACGAUGAUAACGAUAAUGAGGAUAACGAUGAUGAUGUAAUAAUGGCGAUAUAGAUGAUACAGGGAUAACAGAGAUGAUGAUGAAAUGGUAGACCUGUGCUUAAACAUUAGGUAAGUUUCAAUGCAUUGGGGCUUGUAAAAUAAUGAGAAAUUAACCUAUAGUAAUACAUGGAUGGUUAGCUUACUUGCUGUGACUGCUAUUUAGCUGAAACUCAUGUUUACAUUAGCGGAUCCAGGAUAUUUUGGCCGGUGUGGAAGCAGGAGUGGCGAAUGAAGACCAUUUUCAUCACAACUCGGUAAUCCCUGCAAUAUUAGUUUUAAACUUUUAGCAUCUUGUAUUUUUUAAAUUUAAGCAAUUUCUCUUUGUGCAACAUGUGUUUUUUAAUUAUAUUUUCUAUAUUUUUCUAGUAAUAUGGGUGUAUUUAAGGAACCAUAUCUCAUAGCUGUGUUUUAUCGUAUCGUAUCGUAUUGAAACCUAUUGUCAGAGGAGAAUGUUCCCUUACCAAUUCUGUGGGUCCAGGGCCAUAUUAAUCUAAAUUUCAAUUUAGAAACUUGAUACGAUCUUUAGAUGUCCAGGGAGUGUUGCAGGCG